GAUUUUCAGUACUCUUUCCACGUGACAUUGUAAAACUCUUUUUACACAUGUAUCAAAUGAAUGCUCUUUUACAAAGGGAAAUGAUUAAUACAGCAAACAGUAUCUCACGAAGCAAAUCACGAAUGAUGUGGCAUCUUUUAUUUAAUUUAUGAGAGGUGCUAUAUCCGGCGAAUGAUUUUUCACGACACAACUCACGAAACAUGUAUUUGGGUCAUAUAUAAUAGAGAAAUGCUAGUUAUAGCGAAAUUUCUCUCACGAAUAACCACGAAUGAUCUGGCAGACUGACACACCCCACUUGCACUAUUUUAUGGAAUUAAUUAAUUCUGGUUUUUCUCUUACCUCCUUCGUCAUCCACCGCUACCCAAACAACAACACCCCCUUCUCUCUUCUUUCAUCCUUCUCUAUCAAAUUUUUGGUUGGUUUGUACUGUCUCUUUCCUUGUUUUUCUCUCAAUUGAAUUUUAUCCUUUUACCAAAGCAAAUCUCACAGUGUUGUUCCUCUUAUUUCUAAUAUGCAACGUCAAGCAGUUCCUCUUUCUUGGUCCGUAAAGUGCAUUGUUUCAAUAAAGUACAAAAUCACAAUUAAUUUCAUUCCAAUUUCAGCAUGCAAGGUAUGAAGAUAGCAAUAUCAUUAACUAAUUGCAUAAAGGUUGUUGUUGAGAAAUGGGUGAUGAGUGAUUGUGCUAAUUCAUGGAAGUGGAUUUACUUGGCAAAUUUUUCCGUUGAAUUUGUUCUUUGUGUUCUUUGAGUCAUGUAGUUUUAUGCUCUGUUUCAAUCACAACAAACAAUAGAGUUUUUUCCCUCUGUUAUCACACCUUCACAUAUGAAAAAAUAGAAUUUUUUUCCUUCUGAUUUUAAUAUUACUAAAAAGGUGGGUCUACUCUAAAAACGCAAAAAAACAAAAAAAUCAGAAGUGGGUCCCACCACUUCGUGGAAUUUCGCGAAACCAGUUUUCGCUGUAAAUAGCAGUUCUCUAUAUAAUAUGUUCAAAACAGUUGUGUUUCGCUAUACAUAGUGUUUUCCUUAAUUUAAUUAAUUUAAUGAUCUCUCUUUGUAGUCUUUUUUUCAUCUUCCGCUCCGGUGACAAGACUCAAUCUUCUUCUCUUUGCAACUUUGUCUUGUUCUUCUUCCAAAAUUAUUUUUUCUCAAAUAAUUGGCAUAUUCUGUCCCUUUUUACUCCAUAAUUUUUCUCAGAGGUGAAUAUAUAUUUAAAGUCGGGUUUUGAAAAUGAAGAUUUGUUGGAACAUGAUGAAGAAUUAGAGGAAACUUGGUAUUGAAGUAAACACAUUUGUUAGAACCAUGUUAGUGUGAAUUGAAAAAAGGCUCUUUGAGUCCCACAUUGGACAAAUCACACUACUUGGUAGUGUUUAUAUACCACAAGGUGGAAAACCAAGGGUGUGCCCUUGGGGUACCCACUUUUGUAAGAAAGGGAGACCACACACAAUGUCGAAUAUCACACACGCGCGCGCCGCCGGUGAUAUAUUAAUUUUUUAAUACUAAGAAAAAAGAAAUUUUUGAAUUUA
RNAcentral lists this long non-coding RNA (1522 nucleotides) under Trifolium pratense (red clover). RNAcentral describes it as "long non-coding RNA (TPRA_LNC004288)". The record is from RNAcentral. Lineage: Eukaryota; Viridiplantae; Streptophyta; Magnoliopsida; Fabales; Fabaceae.